GUUAAAACACCGGUUCCCGUAUGAUCACCAAAGUUAAGCAUCAUCGAGCCUGGUCAAUACCGAGAUGAGUGACCUCUUAGAAAUACCAGCUGCUGUAA
Molecule: non-coding RNA, 98 nt
Organism: Acanthosepion pharaonis
Lineage: Eukaryota; Metazoa; Mollusca; Cephalopoda; Sepiida; Sepiidae
Source: the annotation of a GenBank genome assembly